AGUGAACGCUGGCGGUAGGCCUAACACAUGCAAGUCGAACGGCAGCACAGAGGAGCUUGCUCCUUGGGUGGCGAGUGGCGGACGGGUGAGGAAUACAUCGGAAUCUACUCUGUCGUGGGGGAUAACGUAGGGAAACUUACGCUAAUACCGCAUACGACCUACGGGUGAAAGCAGGGGAUCUUCGGACCUUGCGCGAUUGAAUGAGCCGAUGUCGGAUUAGCUAGUUGGCUGGGUAAAGGCCCACCAAGGCGACGAUCCGUAGCUGGUCUGAGAGGAUGAACAGCCACACUGGAACUGAGACACGGUCCAGACUCCUACGGGAGGCAGCAGUGGGGAAUAUUGGACAAUGGGCGCAAGCCUGAUCCAGCCAUACCGCGUGGGUGAAGAAGGCCUUCGGGUUGUAAAGCCCUUUUGUUGGGAAAGAAAUCCAUCUGGUUAAUACCCGGGUGGGAUGACGGUACCCAAAGAAUAAGCACCGGCUAACUUCGUGCCAGCAGCCGCAGUAA
Molecule: ribosomal RNA, 506 nt
Filed under: uncultured bacterium
Lineage: Bacteria
Description: partial 16S ribosomal RNA
Rfam family: Bacterial small subunit ribosomal RNA
Source: RNAcentral